Molecule: unclassified non-coding RNA, 5349 nt
Filed under: Mizuhopecten yessoensis (Yesso scallop)
Lineage: Eukaryota; Metazoa; Mollusca; Bivalvia; Pectinida; Pectinidae
Description: pyruvate dehydrogenase phosphatase regulatory subunit, mitochondrial-like, transcript variant X1
Source: RNAcentral
UUGUAGCAGACAGAAAAAUUCAUCGCAGACAUCUGAGACAUUAUUAUCCCCGAUAUGCCCAUUAUCAUUUCUUAACGGCGGUCGUAUGUUUACUUGCUUUCAGCAAAUGGUAAAGUCAAGGACAUAAAUGCAGAUAAUGUGGUCAUAUUUACCAGCCGCACCAUCAGUUGAUAUCUUUAUCGUGAUUUAGACAACAUUUAUCAGCUAAAUCAUCGAAUAGCUGGAGAUUUGCAGACUGAGGAAUAACAGUACCUGGGAUGAUAUAACCAUGUCAUGUAAAUCUGUGAGGUCAACAUUGUGAACUGUUGUGAAAUAUAUAAUGUAAAUACAGGACACACAUGUGUGAGAUAUCGUCCUAUCAUAUCCUGAUGUGAGGUUCUUGAUAUCUGUACAGGGCUUCAGGUAUUUGUGUGUCAAGUGGGGCAGUCCCUAAUAGACCUGUCAGUUAUGUCAAAUCUUCAGUGAGGACAACAGACUAGGGACACAGGAACACAAUGGCACUUGUUAGGGGGAUCCUCAGAGGUCUGGGCCGUGGCCUGAAAUCCCCUGUUAAUCGGGGUCUCUGGACCACCAGCAGCAGACAGUACAGUGAGGAAUCCGUGACCAGCAAUGGAGAAGACAAGCCAUCAGUUAAGGUGCCUUCCAGUGCUAGGGUGGUGAUCUGUGGUGGGGGGGUUCUUGGGACAUCCAUUGCCUACCAUCUAUCUGAACGAGGCUGGACUGAUGUGGUUCUACUGGAGCAGGGCAGACUGACUUGUGGUACCACAUGGCAUUCUGCUGGAAUGGUUGGUCAGGCCAAGGAUGAAGUGGAAGGGUCACAGCUGGUGGCCUACAGCAGACAGCUGUACAAACAGCUAGACAAAAGUCACGGAGUGGGAUGGAAAGAAUGUGGCAGUGUUUUUGUAGCACAGACUCAAGACAGAUUGACAUUUCUACAGAGAAAAAAUGCUAUUGCCUUAGCCACUGGUAUAGAGUCCCACCUGAUCUCACCAGAAGAGGCUGGAAAGCUGUGUCCCUGGAUCAGAACGGAUGAUUUAAAGGGGGCACUGUGGGUGCCUGAUGAUGGAGCGGUCACUCCGCCAGAUCUUGUGACAGCUUUCACCUCCAUCGCUAGGGAGAAAGGUGUAAAGAUCAUGGAGGGUGUGAAAAUAGAUAAAAUUCACACCAAAAAUGGUCGUGUAUCCCAAGUGACAACAUCCCAUGGUGAUAUAGACUGUGAAUACUUUGUCAACUGUGCUGGUCUGUGGGCAAGAGAAGUAGGGACAAAGUCUGAACCAAAUGUCAGAAUUCCUCUCCAUCCAAAUGAGCAUUUCUACCUGGUCACGGCACCCAUCAAAGGGCUGGACCCCUUAAUGCCAGUUGUACGUGACUUUGAUGGUCGGAUCUAUGCUCGGGAGUGGAGUGGAGGCCUGCUAGCUGGAGGGUUUGAACCACGAGGCAAACCAGUGUUCCAUAAUGGAGUUCCUGAUAAGUUUGAAUUUCAGCUUCUCCCAGAGGACUGGGAUCAUUUUCAGGUGUUGUUGGACCCAAUUCUGCAUCGCUUCCCAUGCAUGGAGACUGCUGAAGUGAGACAUUUGGUGAAUGGACCAGAAAGUUUCACUCCUGAUGGUCACUGGAAUCUGGGUGAAUCACCAGAGGUGAAGAAUUACUUUGUGGCAGCAGGCAUGAACUCCAUGGGUGUGGUCGGCUGUGGAGGGAUAGGGAAACAUCUGACUGAAUGGAUCAUUGACGGCGAGCCGAGCAUCAACCUCGCAGAGCAUGACAUCCUGAGAUAUGUUCCUCACCAUAGCAACAAGAAGUUUCUCAAGGAGAGAGUCAAGGAAACCAUUGCUCUAUAUGAAAUGCGGUUCCCAUAUGAAUAUUGGGAGACUGGGCGUAAACUGAGGACAUCGCCCCUACACACCACACUGGAGGUAGACGGGGCAAUCUUUGGGGAAACCAAUGCAUACGAACGACCCAUCUACUUUGCAAGACCUGAUGAUGAGUUUGCAAAUCAGUAUCGUCCUGGAAAAGGCUCCUAUGGCAAGCCACCCUGGUUUGAUAAUGUCAAGGAGGAGUACUGGGCUUGUAAGGAACGUGUCUGUCUCAUCGACAUGUCAUCCUUCUCAAAGUUUGAAGUCAAGUCCAGUGGGUCUGAGGCCUUACAGUUCUUGGAGUAUCUGAGUUCUAAUGACAUUGAAGAUAACAUUGGAGAGAUAAUCCACACGGGUAUGCAGAAUAACCGUGGAGGAUACGAGAAUGACUGUACUGUUGUACCUCUCGAACACAACCACUUUUUCAUAAUAUCCCCGGCAUCCCAGCAGACCAGAUCCCUAGCUUGGCUGCAGCGGUUCCAGCCUGAGGAUGGGUCAGUUCAGAUCCGAGACAUCACAUCAGCGUAUGCAGGGAUCAAUGUAAUAGGUCCUCAUGCCCAACAACUGCUAGCUGAUGUGACAGACAUCUCGACCACUCUGAAGGACUUCAAACCUAUGACAUGCAAGGUUAUAGAUGUUGGGUUUGCCAGUGAUAUCCGGGCCAUGAGACUGACACAUGGUGGAGAAGACGGAUUUGUCCUCUAUGUUCCCUCCGAGUAUGCACUCCAUGUGUACGACACAUUGAUGACUGCAGGGAAGGAUUACGGAAUUCGUCACGCCGGCUACUAUGCCCUGAAAUUUUUGCGUAUUGAGAAGUUCUAUGCAUACUGGGGCAUGGAUCUCACGACCCACACCACUCCUCUUGAGUGUGGCCGCGACUUCAGGGUCAAAUUUGAUGCAGGAGAUUUUAUCGGGAAGGAGGCAUUACUGAAGCAGAAGGAAGAGGGGAUCAGCCAAAGGUUUGUUCAGUUCUUACUGGAGGACUUCAAUGUUGACGAGGACGUGUGGCCUUGGGGAGGAGAACCAAUCUAUCGUAAUGGCAAGUUCUCUGGAACCACAACAUCUAGCGGGUAUGGAUUCAAGCUGGAUAAGAUGGUGUGUCUUGGUUUUAUCAGAGACUAUGACGAGCAGGGUAAGAGCGUCAUGUACAAAAACAUGAACCAAUUUGUAUUGGACAGGAAUGCAAAGUAUGAAAUAGCUAUUGGUGGUCGGAUGUUUGAAGCCAAAGUGCGUCUUUACACUCACAAGGCAGCCUACUCAGCCUCCGAGCCAGUCUUCAUCCCAGUCCCAUCAAUGAAUACCACAUGAAUGGAGUUUUACUACUGUGUGAAUGUUAGAUAUCUAAGGACACAGUUAUUGGACCUACAGUGAUACAGGUUAAGUCAACUUCAGGUAUUUAGAAAAUUAUCUAAUCACGUUAACAUCACUGCUGUAACAGUUACUCGCCAAAGAUUCUAUGAAGGACUUGUUCUCAAAGAAAUAUAAAAUCCUGUCAUGCUAGAAUCUAGCUCCAUGUAUGGUUAAAUCUUAAAACAGUAUCAUGUGCAAUAUCAUGUGCAAUUUGAUUUUCUUAUAAUUAGAUAAAGUUCUUUAAGUGUAAAUGUAAGUGUAUUGAUUUUGAAUUAAUAUCAUGAGCAAUUGCAUUUUUUUCACAUUAGUUGAAGAACUUCAGGUGCAGAUAAAAGUUUAUUAAAACUGACAAAAUUUGAUAAAGACUUAUUCUGUAAUGGAAUACCUGUCGAUAAAGAACUCUUCUGUAAUAAAAUUCUUGUCUGUAAAUGGCAGUGGUUCUAGUUCCCAUCUCUUUAGACAAUUAAACCUCCGCAAAUGUAACAUGUUUAAAGGUAUAGAAGCAGUUUUCAUUAAUAGAUUAUUGAAUUAAAUUAAAAGUCAAUAAAUAUCUGAGAUGGAUGACAAUUCAUGAACAAACACGGCUAAAGUGAAGAAAUGUAGAUGUACAUGUAUCCUUGUUGAUUAUUUGAUCAUUAAUUGUAAUUACUUACAUGAUGUGUGAGUCAGGUGUAGAGGAUAUAUAAUCAUGUACUAGAAAUAUGUCAUUAGAUUAACCUAAACAGAUGUUCUUAAUACAGGAUUUUUUAUUACUGUAAUCUGAAUGAUUCCAUCAAAAUAAGAAAAUAUUUGAUAUGAUAGAUUUAAUAUUUAUCGUCUUUAAUAAAUUAAUAAGAAAUUAGGUAGACAUGAUAAACUAUCAUCAUUAUUCACGAGUUAUCACUUAAACAGACUUUUUCUCUUAAACAAUAAUGUGUGUUUGGGAAGCCAUUAUUGUUUCCUUUCAAACUCGGACUGUGAUCAAAAUGUUUAUAACCCUGAAGCAUGUAGGUAUGCAGACAUGAUUUUUUGUUAUAAAACUUACCUAAAUGGGUGUUUAACCACAUGAAGAUAACAAGAUAGUUCACCAAAGCCUAGAGAAGUUUGACAUGAGGGUAACAUGAUAUCAGAGGUAUUCCACAUGAAGGUAACUUGAUAUUAGAGGUAUUCCACAUCAGGAAUUACACCUUGUAUGUAAAAUAGUGCAAAAUGAAAUAGUGCAAAAUGUAAAAUGGUGCAAGAUGAAAAAGUGCAAAAUGAAAUAGUGCAAAAUGAAAAAGUGCUAAAUGUAAAAUAGUGCAAAAUGAAAUAAUGCAAAAUGUAUACCAAAGAUUAUACUGUGUUCUGUUGAAUUCCUGCCGGUUUGGUAAUAUUUCUGUGUGACUGAGAUUGUUCUAGGUUAGAUUGAGGAUCAGGAACAAAUUCAGGUUUAACAUAAGAAUUAUGGUCUAUGUUGUUAAUACCCAGUAUGAUUAAUUGUAGCAUAAAAUACAUUCUAAAGAUUUUUUUUAACAAGUUCAAGCAUGUUAACUUUCCUGUAUAUUAAGUGUAAGCUUUUCAAGGUAUUGGCUAACUGGUGUCAUGUUUUUGUAGAGAAUCAUUGAUUUGUUGAACAGGAUUUAGUUUAAAGUUUACAAUCACUUUAAGGUUCAUGAAAAUAAUAAUUUGUGUUAAUUUUUUUUGUAAUUUUUGAUAGAUUUCAGUAUUAUUUAUCAUAAUAAUAUCUUUCUUUCCUUUAUAGUCCCAUACGUAUUGUAUUGCUGGAAUGUUUAUAUGUUUGUAUAAACCAAGAGAAUUUAUUCACGGUAAACAUGGUACAAUGUUGGUAAUGAAGGGCAUACAUUUCUCCAAGUCAACAAGUUAUACAUUCAAAAAGGUGUAAAAAUAAAAUUUGCAUAUUAUGUAGAUUGAAAUUGAUGCCAAGACAUGUAAUCACUAAAUUAUUUUUAUAAUAUUCAUGAUAAACUGUUUUUAAAGUUUUGAUUAAUUUCCAACUAUUAAAUGGAUAAUUCAUUUAAAUAUCAGACUUAAUAUUAUACUUUGUGUAUCUAUAUGUUAUUAUUUAAGUCUGCAUAUACCAGGUAUAGGUCAGUAACAAAAGGGCAUACGAACACAGACAACCUUUUAUGUCUGAUACUUCCAUGUAAUAAAGUAUGUUAUAUUACUU